GCGUAAAGGGCUCGUAGGCGGCCAACUAAGUCCGACGUGAAAUCCCCAGGCUCAACCUGGGAACUGCGUCCGAUACUGGAUGGCUUGAAUCCGGGAGAGGGAUGCAGAAUUCCAGGUGUAGCGGUGAAAUGCGUAGAUAUCUGGAGGAAUACCGGUGGCGAAGGCGGCAUCCUGGACCGGCAUUGACGCUGAGGAGCGAAAGCCAGGGGAGCAAACGGGAUUAGAUACCCCGGUAGUCCUGGCCCUAAACGAUGAAUGCUUGGUGUGACGGGUAUCGAUCCCUGUCGUGCCGAAGCUAACGCAUUAAGCAUUCCGCCUGGGGAGUACGGUCGUAAGGCUGAAACUCAAAGGAAUUGACGGGGGCCCGCACAAGCGGUGGAGCAUGUGGUUCAAUUCGACGCAACGCGAAGAACCUUACCCAGGCUCGAACGGCAAUUGACAUCCGGCGAAAGCCGGCUCCCGCAAGGGCAGUUGUCGAGGUGCUGCAUGGCUGUCGUCAGCUCGUGUCGUGAGAUGUUGGGUUAAGUCCCGCAACGAGCGCAACCCUUGUCCGCUGUUGCCAUCAGGUUAUGCUGGGCACUCUGCGGAGACUGCCGGUGAUAAACCGGAGGAAGGUGGGGAUGACGUCAAGUCAGCAUGGCCUUUAUGUCUGGGGCUACACACGUGCUACAAUGGCCGGUACAAACCGUCGCGAUCUCGCAAGAGGGAGCUAAUCGGAGAAAGCCGGUCUCAGUUCGGAUUGCAGGCUGCAACUCGCCUGCAUGAAGUUGGAAUCGCUAGUAAUCGCGGAUCAGCACGCCGCGGUGAAUACGUUCCCGGGCCUUGUACACACCGCCCGUCACAUCACGAAAGCCGGCUGUACUAGAAGUCGCUGAGCCAACCCGCAAGGGAGGCAGGCGCCUAAGGUAUGGUCGGUGAUUGGGGUGAAGUCGUAACAAGGUAACCA
Molecule: ribosomal RNA, 946 nt
Filed under: uncultured bacterium
Lineage: Bacteria
Description: bacterial SSU rRNA
Rfam family: Bacterial small subunit ribosomal RNA
Source: RNAcentral